GCCUUUGUGGUGUAAUGGUCAGCACACUUGGCGCGUAUUCGAGAGGUCCGCGGUUCGAGUCCUGGCGAGGGCA
Non-coding RNA from Stegodyphus mimosarum, 73 nucleotides. The record is from Rfam. NCBI's taxonomy places the organism in Eukaryota, Metazoa, Arthropoda, Arachnida, Araneae, Eresidae.